This 379-nucleotide ribosomal RNA is filed under the name Enterobacter hormaechei. Its description in RNAcentral is "partial 23S ribosomal RNA". It matches the Rfam family "Bacterial large subunit ribosomal RNA", at positions 2552 to 2925 of the family's 2925-position model. The record is from RNAcentral. Lineage: Bacteria; Pseudomonadati; Pseudomonadota; Gammaproteobacteria; Enterobacterales; Enterobacteriaceae.
GCUGAAGUAGGUCCCAAGGGUAUGGCUGUUCGCCAUUUAAAGUGGUACGCGAGCUGGGUUUAGAACGUCGUGAGACAGUUCGGUCCCUAUCUGCCGUGGGCGCUGGAGAAUUGAGGGGGGCUGCUCCUAGUACGAGAGGACCGGAGUGGACGCAUCACUGGUGUUCGGGUUGUCAUGCCAAUGGCACUGCCCGGUAGCUAAAUGCGGAAGAGAUAAGUGCUGAAAGCAUCUAAGCACGAAACUUGCCCCGAGAUGAGUUCUCCCUGAGACUUUAAGUCUCCUGAAGGAACGUUAAAGACUAUGACGUUGAUAGGUCGGGUGUGUAAGCGCAGCGAUGCGUUGAGCUAACCGAUACUAAUGAACCGUGAGGCUUAACCUU